UGGGGAAUUUUGGACAAUGGGCGCAAGCCUGAUCCAGCCAUGCCGCGUGCGGGAAGAAGGCCUUCGGGUUGUAAACCGCUUUUGUCAGGGAAGAAAUCUUCUGAGUUAAUACCUCGGGAGGAUGACGGUACCUGAAGAAUAAGCACCGGCUAACUACGUGCCAGCAGCCGCGGUAAUACGUAGGGUGCAAGCGUUAAUCGGAAUUACUGGGCGUAAAGCGUGCGCAGGCGGUUUUGUAAGACAGAGGUGAAAUCCCCGGGCUCAACCUGGGAACUGCCUUUGUGACUGCAAGGCUUGAGUGCGGCAGAGGGGGAUGGAAUUCCGCGUGUAGCAGUGAAAUGCGUAGAUAUGCGGAGGAACACCGAUGGCGAAGGCAAUCCCCUGGGCCUGCACUGACGCUCAUGCACGAAAGCGUGGGGAGCAAACGGGAUUAGAUACCCUGGGUAGUCCACGCCCUAAACGAUGUCAACUGGUUGUUGGGAAGGUUCCUCCUCAGU
This 497-nucleotide ribosomal RNA is filed under the name uncultured bacterium. Its description in RNAcentral is "partial 16S ribosomal RNA". It matches the Rfam family "Bacterial small subunit ribosomal RNA", at positions 355 to 844 of the family's 1533-position model. The record is from RNAcentral.